AAGUGCUCAAUAGAUACCACUGAUUGAUUGAUCGAUUGAUUGAUCUGUCUUGCUGAAAUUAGGUCCAUCAUGGAUCUGAAGUGGACAAGUGCGAUUCUCCAGCCAACUGUAGGAUGCCCUUGACAGCACAGUCUAUCCUGCACAUUACCUGCCCACAGUGAGCUUAC
RNAcentral lists this long non-coding RNA (167 nucleotides) under Ornithorhynchus anatinus (platypus). RNAcentral describes it as "lncRNA (ENSOANG00000038351.1)". The record is from RNAcentral. Lineage: Eukaryota; Metazoa; Chordata; Mammalia; Monotremata; Ornithorhynchidae.